Long non-coding RNA from Otolemur garnettii (small-eared galago), 507 nucleotides. RefSeq lists it as uncharacterized. Lineage: Eukaryota; Metazoa; Chordata; Mammalia; Primates; Galagidae. The record is from RefSeq and is a predicted model, not a curated record. The transcript is spliced from 3 exons.
UUGUAUGCAAAUUUAGCGGCGAGGCGGGAGCGCGCGGUUGAUACCCGGGGACAGGGCUGCGGCGGUUAGUCCUCUCCCGGCCGCCGUCGCCUCCGACAUAUUGCCCGCAGGAGCUGCGGCGGCGAAGCGGAGAGCGCCGGGGGGGAGGAGAUGGGAGGACGAAGAGGUCCCAACAGGACAUCUUACUGUCGAAAUCCACUCUGUGAGCCAGGAUCCUCAGGGGGCGCUGGUGGGGGCCACACUUCCAGUGCAUCAGUGACCAGUGUCCGUUCCCGAACCAGGAGCAGUUCUGGGACAGGGCUGUCCAGCCCCCCUCUGGCCACCCAGACUGUCGUGCCUCUACAGCAUUGCAAGAUCCCUGAGCUGCCAGUCCAGGCCAGCAUUCUGUUUGAGUUGCAGCUCUUCUUUUGCCAGCUAAUAGCCCUCUUCGUUCACUAUAUCAACAUCUACAAGACAGUGUGGUGGUAUCCACCUUCCCACCCACCCUCCCACACCUCCCUGGUAGGU